GGAAGGGCUGUGGCUCUGAGGCAGAGGAUCUGCUUUGCAUGCAAAGGGUCCCAGGUUCAAUCCCUGAUGGCACUUCCA
Non-coding RNA from Podarcis lilfordi (Lilford's wall lizard), 78 nucleotides. Lineage: Eukaryota; Metazoa; Chordata; Lepidosauria; Squamata; Lacertidae. The record is from the annotation of a GenBank genome assembly.